GUCUCAGUUCGGAUUGUAGUCUGCAACUCGACUACAUGAAGCUGGAAUCGCUAGUAAUCGCGGAUCAGAAUGCCGCGGUGAAUACGUUCCCGGGUCUUGUACACACCGCCCGUCACACCAUGGGAGUCGGAAAUGCCCGAAGUCUGUGAACCUUAACCGUAAGGAAGGAGCAGCCGAAGGCAGGUCGGAUGACUGGGGUGAAGUCGUAACAAGGUAGC
RNAcentral lists this ribosomal RNA (218 nucleotides) under uncultured bacterium. RNAcentral describes it as "partial 16S ribosomal RNA". It matches the Rfam family "Bacterial small subunit ribosomal RNA", at positions 1285 to 1500 of the family's 1533-position model. The record is from RNAcentral.